Molecule: ribosomal RNA, 254 nt
Filed under: uncultured bacterium
Lineage: Bacteria
Description: partial 16S ribosomal RNA
Rfam family: Bacterial small subunit ribosomal RNA
Source: RNAcentral
UACGUAGGGUGCGAGCGUUAAUCGGAAUUACUGGGCGUAAAGCGUGCGCAGGCGGUUUGUUAAGACAGAUGUGAAAUCCCCGGGCUUAACCUGGGAACUGCAUUUGUGACUGGCAAGCUAGAGUAUGGCAGAGGGGGGGUAGAAUUCCACGUGUAGCAGUGAAAUGCGUAGAGAUGUGGAGGAAUACCGAUGGCGAAGGCAGGUCUCUGGGCUGAUACUGACGCUCAUGCACGAAAGCGUGGGGAGCAAACAGG